This 72-nucleotide transfer RNA is filed under the name Merluccius polli (Benguela hake). It matches the Rfam family "tRNA". Rfam says of the family: Transfer RNA (tRNA) molecules are approximately 80 nucleotides in length. The record is from Rfam by way of RNAcentral. Lineage: Eukaryota; Metazoa; Chordata; Actinopteri; Gadiformes; Merlucciidae.
UCCUCGUUAGUAUAGUGGGCAGUAUCCCCGCCUGUCACGCGGGAGACCGGGGUUCAAUUCCCCGACUGGGAG